UGAGCAUCCAUCACAUCAUGCAUAGUCACCAUAUUAUCUCUCUCCCCCAAAAUCCCAGACCUCACUCUCCUCAACUCCUGCAUAUGCCCACCAACCCCAAGAAUCAAUCCCAAAUGCACGCACAUAGUCCUAACAUAAGUCCCAGCUUCACAAGAAAUCCAAAAAACAACCAAAUGCCUAUCUGGGUCAUACUCCAACAACUUACUCUCAUAAAUUGUCC
RNAcentral lists this unclassified non-coding RNA (220 nucleotides) under Hevea brasiliensis (rubber tree). Lineage: Eukaryota; Viridiplantae; Streptophyta; Magnoliopsida; Malpighiales; Euphorbiaceae. The record is from RNAcentral.